This 253-nucleotide ribosomal RNA is filed under the name uncultured bacterium. RNAcentral's name for it is "partial 16S ribosomal RNA". It matches the Rfam family "Bacterial small subunit ribosomal RNA", at positions 524 to 776 of the family's 1533-position model. The record is from RNAcentral.
UACGGAGGGUGCAAGCGUUAUCCGGAUUUACUGGGUUUAAAGGGUGCGUAGGUGGGUAGGUAAGUCAGUGGUGAAAUCUCCGGGCUUAACCCGGGAACUGCCAUUGAUACUAUUUAUCUUGAAUAUCCUGGAGGUGAGCGGAAUAUGUCAUGUAGCGGUGAAAUGCUUAGAUAUGACAUAGAACACCAAUUGCGAAGGCAGCUCACUACGGGAUCAUUGACACUGAGGCACGAAAGCGUGGGGAUCAAACAGG